UGGGUAGAAACCCCCCCCCCCCCCAAUAGGGAGACACGGGCCCAGCACACACAGGAAAAAGCCCACGGACCAAGUGCGCGUUCUCAAAACAAUGGGGUUAGAUACCCGUCUAUUCAUAACAAAACAGUGAGGCUGAAGAAUACGGGCCUAAAUGCCUUAAACUCAAAGACUUUGGCGGUGUCUUAUCAAAUUAGGGGAGCCUGCCCAUUAAAUCGACAGUCCACGACUAAAUAACCUAUGCUUGAAUAUCAGUCUGUAUACUGCCGUCGUAAGUAAGCCUCUCAAAGAAAGAAGUUUACACAUAACAAUGUCAAGUUGUAAAACGUCAGGUCAUAGUGCAACUUAUGCUUAGGAAGAGGUGGGCUACAAACUAAAUAAAGACUAACGAAUUUAUGACUAAAUAGUCAUAAAGAAGGUGGACUUAACUGUAACUUAAUAAUCAUAUUUAAGUGAAAGUGAAUCUAAGACAUGCACACAUCGCCCUCAUCCCCUAGG
Molecule: ribosomal RNA, 495 nt
Filed under: Drawida lennora
Lineage: Eukaryota; Metazoa; Annelida; Clitellata; Moniligastrida; Moniligastridae
Description: partial 12S ribosomal RNA
Rfam family: Bacterial small subunit ribosomal RNA (bases 134-495)
Source: RNAcentral